This 425-nucleotide ribosomal RNA is filed under the name uncultured bacterium. Its description in RNAcentral is "partial 16S ribosomal RNA". It matches the Rfam family "Bacterial small subunit ribosomal RNA", at positions 354 to 796 of the family's 1533-position model. The record is from RNAcentral.
GUGGGGGAUAUUGCACAAUGGGGGAAACCCUGAUGCAGCGACGCCGCGUGGAGGAAGAAGGUUUUCGGAUUGUAAACUCCUGUCGUUAGGGACGAUAAUGACGGUACCUAACAAGAAAGCACCGGCUAACUACGUGCCAGCAGCCGCGGUAAAACGUAGGGUGCAAGCGUUGUCCGGAAUUACUGGGUGUAAAGGGAGCGCAGGCGGGAAGACAAGUUGGAAGUGAAAACCAUGGGCUCAACCCAUGAAUUGCUUUCAAAACUGUUUUUCUUGAGUAGUGCAGAGGUAGAUGGAAUUCCCGGUGUAGCGGUGGAAUGCGUAGAUAUCGGGAGGAACACCAGUGGCGAAGGCGGUCUACUGGGCACCAACUGACGCUGAGGCUCGAAAGCAUGGGUAGCAAACAGGAUUAGAUACCCCGGUAGUCC